This 422-nucleotide ribosomal RNA is filed under the name uncultured bacterium. Its description in RNAcentral is "SSU rRNA". It matches the Rfam family "Bacterial small subunit ribosomal RNA", at positions 371 to 808 of the family's 1533-position model. The record is from RNAcentral.
AUGGGGGGAACCCUGACGCAGCGACGCCGCGUGCGGGACGGAGGCCUUCGGGUCGUAAACCGCUUUCAGCAGGGNAAGAGUCAAGACUGUACCUGCAGAAGAAGCCCCGGCUAACUACGUGCCAGCAGCCGCGGUAAUACGUAGGGUGCAAGCGUUAUCCGGAAUUAUUGGGCGUAAAGGGCUCGUAGGCGGUUCGUCGCGUCCGGUGUGAAAGUCCAUCGCUUAACGGUGGAUCUGCGCCGGGUACGGGCGGGCUGGAGUGCGGUAGGGGAGACUGGAAUUCCCGGUGUAACGGUGGAAUGUGUAGAUAUCGGGAAGAACACCAAUGGCGAAGGCAGGUCUCUGGGCCGUUACUGACGCUGAGGAGCGAAAGCGCGGGGAGCGAACAGGAUUAGAUACCCUGGUAGUCCAAGGGCGAAUUC